AGAGUUUGAUUAUGGCUCAGGCUUUUAAAUGGCGGCGUGCCUAACACAUGCAAGUCGAACGGACCUUUCCCGUCGAUGCGAUUUCGGUCAAGUCAAAGGAUGUUUUAGUGGCGGACGGGUGAGUAACGCGUGGGCAACCUGCCUUACACCGGGGGAUAACACUUAGAAAUAGGUGCUAAUACCGCAUAACAGGAGAACAUGCAUGUGUUUUCCUUGAAAACCACGGUGGUGUAAGAUGGACCCGCGUCUGAUUAGCUUGUUGGCAGGGUAACGGCCUACCAAGGCGACGAUCAGUAGCCGGCCUGAGAGGGUGGACGGCCACAUUGGGACUGAGACACGGCCCAGACUCCUACGGGAGGCAGCAGUGGGGAAUAUUGCACAAUGGGGGAAACCCUGAUGCAGCGACGCCGCGUGAGUGAAGAAGUAUUUCGGUAUGUAAAGCUCUGUCAGCAGGGAAGAAAAUGACGGUACCUGACCAAGAAGCCCCGGCUAACUACGUGCCAGCAGCCGCGGUAAUACGUAGGGGGCAAGCGCUAUCCGGAUUUACUGGGUGUAAAGGGAGCGCACACGGCAGUGCAAGUCCGGAGUGAAAGCCCGGGGCCCAACCCCGGGACUGUUCUGGAAACUGUACGGCUGGAGUGCCGGAGAGGUAAGCGGAAUUCCUAGCGUAGCGGUGAAAUGCGUAUAUAUUAGGAGGAACACCCAGUGGCGAAGGCGGCUUACUGGACGGUAACUGACGUUGAAGGUCCGAAAGCGUGGGGAAGAAACAGGAUUAAAUACCCUGGUAGUCCCC
This 793-nucleotide ribosomal RNA is filed under the name uncultured bacterium. RNAcentral describes it as "bacterial SSU rRNA". It matches the Rfam family "Bacterial small subunit ribosomal RNA", at positions 8 to 798 of the family's 1533-position model. The record is from RNAcentral.